This is a long non-coding RNA of Lates calcarifer (barramundi perch), 1630 nucleotides long. RefSeq lists it as uncharacterized. The transcript has 2 exons. The record is from RefSeq and is a predicted model, not a curated record. NCBI's taxonomy places the organism in Eukaryota, Metazoa, Chordata, Actinopteri, Centropomidae.
ACAUAUAGAAGAGGAAAAUGGCCGCCGUGGCUCAUGAAUAUGGUCACAAACAGCGUCAUAAAACAGACCCACUUAACACCUGGUGGAUGACUCCUCUCUCCACAGUGGAAAACUCUCCUUUAAGGCUGUAACGUUAAACUCAGGCUUCCGGAGGCCUUUAAAUAGAUCUGUCAUAAAUCACAAGAGGGACUGAUUUAACACCAUUUCCACACUGAGGCGACUUCAUCUGAAAACUUCUUUUCAGCCACACUAAGCUUUCAUACUCACAUAUGUUUUUUUAUUGUACAACGUGCAGAGUAAAGAAACAGGUUACUUGCAGAACAUUGUCUUUUGAACAGAAGUCUACAGUAUUCCUGUGCUGCCUUCACUGACCUCUUUUAACCCCUCUCCCAGUCCUUGCAGAAUGAUCUAAGACUGCUAAAGUCAAACAUCUGACUCAACAUGGCAUCACUGCUGAGCGGAAGCAGAGGCUUGUGAGGGACUAAAAUAUUGAUGCUGUGAAAGGAGGCGUGAGUUCCCAGAUUUGCCUCUUGCGCUCUGCUACAAACCAGGCAAAUCGAUGCAUCUUCUCCAAACCAGCUACACAAUAUGUUGGCUUUUCAGCAGAGGAGCUCAAAUCUAAAACUUUAUGGUUUAUCUUUUUGAAAAAGUGAUGUGUUUAGGUCCAAGAUGACGACAACAAUACCUUUUCCAAAACUGCUCCUUGCUACAAGAGGACUGUGUAGUGAUCACUGCAUCUUCAGAGCAGCUGAUGACUGGGAAAAAGACAGAAGAAGAUUGAUGGUGCUUGGUGACAAAAAUCAGGUGAUGUAUUGUUGUUAGAUCCUGACUGAAGCGAGCACCUAUGAGCUUGAGUCUGGUAAAGCACAUGUUAAAUGCCUGACUGGGUGUCAGGCUGAAGCUGAGGACUUGGAAACCAACAUGUUGGCCACUCAACUCAUGACACCAUGUGGCUGCAGAAUGCAACUGUUUUACAGGUGUUUCUCAGUCACAGCACAUACCCAGUGAAUGAUCCUGCACUUCUCCAGUUUUCACUGAAAAAUUAAAAUAUGUUGUUGUUCUCUAUGAGAACACAUGCAUGAACAAAAACAAAUGGAUUCAUUCACAGAGAGGAUUGGAAUAAGAUUAUACUUAAGGCUUUUGAGAAGAUCAUGUGCUUAUGGGAAGUUGCGUAACACACUGAAUGAGUCAGAGCAGCUUCAGAGAAAGAGUUAAUGAAAACAGUGUGUGUGUUCUGUGUGUGUCUAGAUGUAUGUGUUGUUGGGAGCGUGUUGUGGAAAGUCUCAUCUUUAGGAUCCCUGCAGUGCUUCUCACACACAGUUACGUCAUGACCUUACACCUUCCACAGCACUGGCAGCUAGUCGUGCCCUCUGUCCAAAAUACACAACGCCAGUGUUACCAGGCGACAGAGACAGAGUUGACCUUUACAGUGACACUGUGAGGAUGUUUUGUAUUUGCACUUGUUAUAGUGGCAGCUAUAUGUCACAUGUAAAGCUAAGUAUAAGUAAUCUCAUGCUAUGAAUAUCAGAGAACGUGGCGCUACUGUUGCAUUCACACCAUAAUAAUUUGUAAUAAUUUUGAAAUAUCUGUUCCUCUGCUCUUCUUUUUGAUAAAUUUUGGAUUCUUUGUG